GACGAACGCUGGCGGCGUGCUUAACACAUGCAAGUCGAACGAUGAACCGGUUUCGGCCGGGGAUUAGUGGCGAACGGGCGGGUAACACGUGGGCAAUCUGCCCUGCACUCUGGGAUAAGCCCGGGAAACUGGGUCUAAUACCGGAUACGACACUCCGAGGCAUCUUGGGGUGUGGAAAGUUCCGGCGGUGCAGGGUGAGCGCGCGGCCUAUCAGCUUGUUGGUGGGGUAGUGGCCUACCAAGGCGACGACGGGUAGCCGGCCUGAGAGGGUGACCGGCCACACUGGGACUGAGACACGGCCCAGACUCCUACGGGAGGCAGCAGUGGGGAAUAUUGCACAAUGGGCGGAAGCCUGAUGCAGCGACGCCGCGUGAGGGAUGACGGCCUUCGGGUUGUAAACCUCUUUCAGCAGGGAAGAAGCGAAAGUGACGGUACCUGCAGAAGAAGCACCGGCUAACUACGUG
Molecule: ribosomal RNA, 464 nt
Filed under: uncultured bacterium
Lineage: Bacteria
Description: partial 16S ribosomal RNA
Rfam family: Bacterial small subunit ribosomal RNA
Source: RNAcentral